RNAcentral lists this ribosomal RNA (253 nucleotides) under uncultured bacterium. RNAcentral's name for it is "partial 16S ribosomal RNA". It matches the Rfam family "Bacterial small subunit ribosomal RNA", at positions 524 to 776 of the family's 1533-position model. The record is from RNAcentral.
UACGAAGGGGGCUAGCGUUAAUCGGAAUUACUGGGCGUAAAGCGUGCGCAGGCGGUUUUGCAAGCCGGAUGUGAAAUCCCCGGGCUCAACCUGGGAAUGGCAUUCGGGACUGCAAGGCUGGAGUGCGGCAGAGGAGACUGGAAUUCCUGGUGUAGCAGUGAAAUGCGUAGAUAUCAGGAGGAAUACCGAUGGCGAAGGCAGGUCUCUGGGCUGACACUGACGCUCAUGCACGAAAGCGUGGGGAGCAAACAGG